RNAcentral lists this long non-coding RNA (203 nucleotides) under Elaeis guineensis (African oil palm). RNAcentral's name for it is "long non-coding RNA (EGUI_LNC022367)". Lineage: Eukaryota; Viridiplantae; Streptophyta; Magnoliopsida; Arecales; Arecaceae. The record is from RNAcentral.
CCUUGUCACAUAUAGACGAGUAUAUCCUUCUUAUUUUGACUGUUGCUGUAACCUUAAUGCUCUUGCUUGGAGGAACACAUCCUCUUUAAUACUUUGCUCUUUGCUAUGUUCUUGUAUAUCUUUUUUGUUGUACAUAUGCAUCUGAAUAAAAGUCGGACAGCAAUUUAUUGCUUCUUUUUUCCAUCAAAAAAAAGAUGACCCCC